AGCCCCGUCGUCUAGCGGUCAAGGAUGCAGGGCUUUGGACCCUGCGACGGCGGUUCGAAUCCGCCCGGGGCUA
This 73-nucleotide transfer RNA is filed under the name Candidatus Nanoarchaeia archaeon. Its description in RNAcentral is "tRNA-Gln". It matches the Rfam family "tRNA". Rfam says of the family: Transfer RNA (tRNA) molecules are approximately 80 nucleotides in length. Their secondary structure includes four short double-helical elements and three loops (D, anti-codon, and T loops). The record is from RNAcentral. Lineage: Archaea; Nanobdellati; Nanobdellota; Candidatus Nanoarchaeia. RNAcentral also lists the same sequence under 1 other name.